This 919-nucleotide long non-coding RNA is filed under the name Rhinopithecus bieti (black snub-nosed monkey). Its description in RNAcentral is "lncRNA (ENSRBIG00000045863.1)". The record is from RNAcentral. Lineage: Eukaryota; Metazoa; Chordata; Mammalia; Primates; Cercopithecidae.
CAGGCUGGAGUGCCGUGGCAUGAUCCCUGCUCACUGCAGCUCCUGCCUCCCCAGUUCAAGCGAUUCUCCUGACUCAACCUCCCGAGUAGCUGGGAUUAUAGGCACCUGCCACGAUGCCUGGCUAAUUUUGCGGUUUUAGUAGAGACGUGUUUCACCAUGUUGACCAGGCUGGUCUCAAACUCCUGAGCUCAAGUGGUCCACCCACCUUGGCCCCCCAAAGUGCUUGGGAUUACAGGCACGAGCCACCGUGCCCAGCUGAGAGAGGGAGAGCGUGUCAAGCUGAGGACACAGAAGUGUGUGCAAAGGCAGAAGACAACAUGGGGCACUUUAGGCUGGGCAUGGUUCAGAGCAGGAGUUGGAGUUCAGAGACCAGCGAGGUCCAGGAGCUGAUCAUCAACAAAGAUCCCACACUACUGGACAACUUCCUGGACGUGAGUGACUGACAGAAGAUAAAGGGGUGUGGUGUAGGGGAAACGGGAUGUGGAACCUAAUGUAGCCCUGAUCCGCUUUCUCUCUUGACAUUGGCAGGAGAUCAUCGCAUUCCAAGCAGACAAGUCAAUCGAAGUACGAAAAUUUGUCAUCGGCUUCAUCGAGGAGGCAUGGUAUGGGGUGAGGCAGGGAGCCCCAGGAGCAUUCUCACUGGAGGCAGCCUUCAGGUCCUGGCCUGGUCUGGAGGCCACCACUGAGAGGCCUGCCUUCUGCUUCCCAGACCCUUUCUCUCUCUCUUGCACACUGAUUCCCCAGUAAAUAUUUAGUAAGAUCGAAACCCUGGGGUCAUCUAUGAUUCCUCUGGUUCUUCCACACUUCACAUCUACAUCGUCACUAAGGACUGUGGGCUCUACUUUGAGAAUAUCUGCAGCAUCUGACCAUUUGUCAAUCGCUUCCUCUACCACUACACAGACCCAAGCCACCCUUCCCG